This is a non-coding RNA of Equus caballus (horse), 8975 nucleotides long. NCBI's taxonomy places the organism in Eukaryota, Metazoa, Chordata, Mammalia, Perissodactyla, Equidae. The record is from RefSeq and is a predicted model, not a curated record.
AUGGCAGAGGACUGAUGGUGGGUUAGUGGCAAAGCCAGGGCCAGAUUCUUUCUGCCACACAACACUGUUAUCAUUGAGUUGAAUCUUGAUGGAGUUCUGUGCAACACUUCUUUUUCAUAAUGGUGAUAAUGGAAUUUCCCCGUUUACAUAGCCCUUUGAUAUUCUUUAUUUAAUACACACAACAACUCUUGAUGUAACCAGGCAAGGGUUGUUGUCUCCAUUUUACAGGUAAAGAAUCAGGGGCUCAUGGAGGUGAAUGAUUCAGAGCUGAUUUGCAUGUGCAGUGUAAUUCAACACACGAAUUUGUGGGUGUCGUGGCCUUAUCUGAACUGUUUCCACUGCUUGGAAAGUCACUGCCUGUGCUGCCCAUGCCUGCUCCCCGCCUUAAGAUGUGGUUUGAGGGUUACCUCCUUCAACAAUUGUUCUCUGAAUUUUCCCGCAUGACUUGGGUGUCCCUUCUAUGACGAAACCGCCUCUUCUGGAUCCUAAGAUCCUCCAGAGGAACAGACAGCUUGGUGUCCCUGCCCCACUGCAGAGGCUAGGAGUCCCCAGCAGGGCCCCGCCGCCUCCCUGGCCCUAAGUCUAUCCCUGUUCUUUCACUCACCACUGCAUUUGUCACACUCCUCUGGAACUGCAGUCUUCUUGAAAGCAGGGAUUAUGUCUUCCGUCUUUCAAGCAUCAAAGUCUGGCUUCGUAUUGGCGUUUCAUAAGUGUGAGUUAACCCAAUAAUGAACUUUUUAGAGUCAGGAUUUUAACUCAGGUCCUCUGAUGCAGUUACUGCCUGCCCCUUUGAGGAGUGUGAGAUGUAAAACCAGAUAGUAGAAUAAAGCCUCUUCAAGGGGUGAACUAGCCAGCCACAAAGGCAAAAUCAUUCCUAAUUACAAAUAAAAUCACCUAAAGCACACCAGCUCUGCUUGUCUGCCCUGGCAACAAAACCUUGCAAAAGUCCUCCAGACUUUCCUCAUCUCACUGUGCACAAGAUGGAAAAAUUUAGUCAAGACUAAAGGAAGCCUUGGGGGUGCUUAGAGGGAGCCCUCUGUUAAAGUGUUGUGCAGUCACUUACAUCUGAACAUGAGAGAAAGACAAAAGGGAGAUGAGGUAAAAACAGAGCAAAUGAGGGAAACGUAGAUUUGCUCAGACGUGUGGUGCAAGCCGUGUGUUGACGGAUGGGGGUGGUUCCUGAUCAUCUGUUUUGACUCAAGGUUGGGUCGGCUCUGGUUUGAGUUCACAUGGACCAGCCUCACAAAUGAGAACAUCCAUCUCUAGGACGUGCAAGAGCCAGGCUGCACUCCGUUUCUCUAAACUCUCUCGUGAUAAUCUGCAAUGGAACCGAUCAUUUCUCUGCCCAUUUCAGGCGUGUCUGAGUGGCAGUGACUUAUUAGCCCUGUAAAUUUGGCCUGUGCAUCAUUUUACAGGAGUAUGUAGGAGUCUGGAUUUAUAGAAGUUAGCCUCCAGCAAAAUAUUUCCUGUAUUAUAGCAGCACCAGGGCACGGGAAAAUUGGUAAAGAGAUUUGAGAGGACUAGAGAGAAGUAAUCUCUUCUAGAACUCUGGUACAAUGAUUUUCCAUGUAAUUUACAAUGUGUGGAGUUCCACUGGAUUUUAAAAGAAAUGGUGGGGCAUUUUUUUUGGUAAAAAUGAUAUAUGCUUAUCAUAAAAAAUUCAAGUAAUACAUAAAAAAGUAUAAGAAAAAAGAUCUUGAAAAACUUCUUAAUUCUACCAUACAGACAACCAUUGGUAAGUUUGGUGAACAUUAUUUCAGAUACUCUCCACAGGUGGAUGGCUAAAAUAAUUUUAGAAAGAUGAGUUCAUACAGUUUAUUCUAUUUUAGAAGAAGUAAGCUAAUUAAAAAAUUUAGUUGACAGGCUAAAAUGAAUUCACUUUAGUUAUGUGUUUUCUAUAGGAAUUUUAAACAUUCAUCACAUUAUUUUAUUUUUAUAAUUUUUAAAGAACAUAAAAUGACCUGUAAAUGCCAGUAUUUGUGGAAUGACAGAACUGGAAAGGCCAACAACGUCAUUUAUUGCAGCUUUCUGCUUUUAGGUAGGUCAACUGCAAAUUGCUGAGGGUAUUUUUUUUUUUUUAAGAUUUUUAGUUUUCCUUUUUCUCCCAAAGCCCCCGGUACAUAGUUGUGUAUUUUUAGUUGUGGGUCCUUCUAGUUGUGGCAUGUGGGAUGCCACCUCAGCAUGGCCUGAUGAGCGGUGCCAUGUCUGCGCCCAGGAUUCUAGCUGGUGAAACCUCGGGCCGUUGAAACAAAGUGUGCGAACUCAACCACUCGGCCACGGGGCUGGCCCCACUGAAGGUAUUUUUAAACUGUUUUUAAAGAACUCAAGGGAUAAAGGAUCAAUUGCAUUCUCAGUAGAUGUCCAACAUUUACUCGUCCUUUUGGUCAAUGAGCAUUUCACCUGUGAUAUGGUUUCAUGAUUUUUUAAAAAAUUUCUAUUGAGUUCAAAUUGUUCAGAAUAUAAAUUGUUCUUCUUUGCAUGACUUUCCAGCUAAAAGAUUUGUAAUUUUCACAUUUAGUUCAUCUUUCUGAUGAACUGAGAUGUUGUCAUUAAAAGGAAAUGGGUAUUUUGCAGGGGGUUGAGUGGUGAGUGAACGAAUGGGGUUGCACGUGGGUGCAUUAGGGAUCAGAUGGGAGCCCUGUCAACAGUUAGUUGUCAUUAACUGAAAGCACAGUGUGUUUGUGCCUUUUAAAGACAAUCAUUCCAUCCCUGAAGCGUUCUAUAGGCCCCCUCUUGUUUAUAGUGAGAGAAGAAUGGCCAAAACAACACCCAAAUAGACUUUUACUAUGCAUGACAUUUCAGAACAGAUGAGUAGUAGAGCUUCAGGAAAAAUUGCUGUGUCAUUAUCCUGUGAUUUGGAGGGUUACAUAAAAAGACUAGAUGUUUAUAGAAAUAAAACACAGCUUCUGCAAUGACACCAGGUCAGACAUUUUAUAAAUGCCUAGGUUUAUCAAACUCUGGCCAAAUCAAAAGAAAAUUUUCUCAUAUUUUGAUUUUUCCAGAAAAAAGAGGCCAACAGAUAAAAGGUUUAAAUUAAAAAGUAUCCAACAUAGUGUUUCAGACGAGGAGGGAAGGUAAACCAAUGUAAAAUUGCUUCCAAAUAGUAUCUGUAUAUAUUGACUGAUAUACAGGGAAAAAUAAUUAAAAACACACACGGGCAAAAAGAGUUUUAAGAUUACAGAAGGAAAUUUCCUCAAACAGUAUGUCUUGAGAUAAAUGUGUUGGAAACCCUUCUUAAUCUGGUUUUUAGAAGCUGGAGAGAAUUAGAUAAGGAUGCAGCAGUAGACAGAGCCUUGUAAGUGACCACAAACGAAUAGCAUUUGGGGCCUUAAGAGAAGAGUUAGGAAAUUUGAAGAAGAGAAGGCAUCAGAGAAAGAAAGAGAAAGCAGAUUUCAGUUAAAUAAGAUCUGUUUUGACAGAAAUCUAAUUCAGCAAGUGUUUAUUAAGAUCCUAAUCCAUAUUAGCAUAUUUUUGAGCAAUUCAAAAUGUAUGAAAAGUGAAGCCGUGUUUGCUGCACGUCCUGCGCGUCAAGCAACUGCCUAGUUAUCCCAGAACUUAAUCGUAAGGAAGCUUAAAGGCCCAGGGUAUGGCCAACAUCUUCAACUCCUCAACACUUUCAGUUUACAGAGGGCUGUGGCAGGCCCUCCGUAAAUGUUUGUUAACCUUGGUCUUGGGAAGAAUAUAAAGUCGUAGUGGAUUGUGUGGUAUAGAAUAAGUUAAGAUAAAAAGGAGAAGAAAAGGAAGGAUAAUUGUGGGCAGGGGUAGUUAAAAAAGAUAAGCCUAAGUGGAUACUUAAGGGACCCUCAUGGUUGGGAAGGAGCAAGAGGUCCUAGGUAGUAGAGUCAGAAAGAAUGGCUGGAAAGGAAUGACAACUCCUGUAGAAUUUCCCAAAUUCUAGAUUCUUCUGAUUGCUUCCCCAUGGUAAUUUUUUGAGCGUGGUUCUCUGACCGCUGUAUUUCUUUGAAGGUAAUAAUGAGAGCUAAAGGCUUUAUUAGAUUCCAGUCUGGCAUUUUGGGCAGGAAUGCUUCGUAGGGAGUGUUGUGCACUUCCUGUUGUUCACACUGCGAAUCACUGCUUCCAUUUUAGCUGAGCUCUUUAACUUGGAAUUCAGUGGUUAGACUUCAAGAAGUUGGUAAAAUCUCUAAAACUGUUUACAAAAUUUUGUUUAAGUCUUGACAUGUUCACUCUUCUGAGGGGGAGGUGACAGCUUUCAUUAACUUUUCAAAGAAGUCUACAAAUAGAAAAAGUUGGGAGCCAAUGAUGUAAAACUUUAAAGGUUCCUUCUCUCUGUUGGCCUCUAGUUACCAAGAAAAUGUUUAGGAUUUUCAUGUUCUAUAGGAACAUAAUAUUGGACUUUGAAAUGAACCAUAUUUACCAUCUGUCUCAUACCCGUCAUUUUACAGACAAGAAACAAAAGAAGGGAAUUCCUUUCAGCAAGGGCCCGUGGCUAGUUAAUAGCAGAGCUAGGAUUGGCAGUGGGAUUCCAUGACAUUGUUGUAGAGCUCCCUAAUUUCUUUGCUUUAUUAUUUUUUAAAGCCAUAGAGAUGAUGCUUUAGGUUCCCUAAGAUUUUUGCAAUUGUGGGAUGUUGAUUCAUGCACCUGUUGAUUUACAAAUGUCCAGCUGUGUUUAAAAUGUUUCUGUUACUUUUUUCUCCUAUCCCCACACUAUGCAUUUCGUCUCUGAUUCCAUUGUUGGUUAAAGUCUGCAGCCACAAAUAAUUAGGUUAAAUUUAAUUCACUUAAUUAUUUAAUUUACUAAUUUAAUUACUCUAAUUUAAUUUACUUAAUUGUUUCUUUUGUUGAGAGUUUACUUUAGAGGUGCUCUGGUUCUGUGAGUAGAGAGACUAAUAAGACGCAGUUCCUGCCUCCCAGGAUUCUCUAGUCUAUAGAUAUGGGAGUUUGUUUUGUUUUGUUUUUUGCAGAUUUAGUACCCUGCCAGAUGAACAAUGUGUUACGUUAGGGUCUGUUCUGUGGUGCUUAGGAGCAGUUACUGAUCUUUACUCAUUUAUGCCUUGAAUUCAGAAUUGCCAGUUCUCAGGGAGACAUGGAAAGUUAGCAUUAUCACCAACAGAGACAGCUUCAUUUUCUUGGUUGUCGGGCUCUUUUCACCUGGUGGAGAUGAAGUCUUCAUCAUUUGAGUGACAUAUUUGUCAUUCAGCACCUUAGUGUGAAACUUGGGAAGAGUGGGCCAGCCUAUCCCAUAAUACUGGAGCUGAAUCUCAUUUAUCACUAUCACCUUCAAAAGAGGAGGCCUAUCUCUUCCCUUUUCCCAGCUGACACCAUACCUUGCUGAGAAGGUAAGAGGUGUUCCAGCCAGAUCACUUCUUUGAAAGGAGUGCCGGGACAGCCUGGCUUAAGCCUGAUUUUAGAUAGAUGCUUAAGUCCCUUUGCACUGCCUCUGGCAUGGCACCAGGGCUAUUGGGGUGAUUUUGUUUAUUUAAGGCUACAGAAGAAAAACAGGUCCCCACUAGUGGGUGGGGAGUGCUAGUGCAAGACUGAAAUGAUUUCACUCUUCUUUUUUCUCCUUAUUAUCAUCUUAAUCCAAAGAACAUGAUAGGUAACCAAAUAAAUCCCUUACACAAAGGCUGUUGUCACUGGUAAUCCUUGAAUUAACCUGCAUUUUACAUUUUAAGUAACUGGUGUUGGUUUACUGAGACAUCAUCUCAUGCAACUUGCCAAAAUCUUGUCUUGGUAGGUUUCCCCUUUAGCCCAGUGUGGUUCUUGUUGUGUUAGGGUCAGUGUGUGGAGGCCUGUGGGAAGGUCCUUGCACACCAUGAUUCUUCCUCACUUGACAGUUGUUGGUGCCUGAAAUGCAACAUUUGUUUGUUUGGUUCACAAAAAUAUUGCUUCCUAUUAAAAAAAACACCUUAAUGUAUUGUUCACCUUUUCAUUCAUCCAUUCAUAGAACGAAUAUUUACUGAAUACCUACUCUAAGUGACUGGAGCAUAGAGAGCAAGGGGGAAAGUAGGAUGAGAUGAAGCUGGUGAUGCAUUUAGGUGCUUUCCCACCUCUGCUAAGUAUUUUGAUCUUCAACACAAGAGCCAUGGAGAGCUACAGAAAGAUUUUAAGCAAAGGAAUGCUGUACCAUGAUCAUGUUUGUGUUUUAAAAAGAUAACCCUGGCAGCUUUGUGGAGAAGAAAUGAGAGAGUAAACGUGUAGGGAUCAGUUGGGAGCCUAUUGCACCUGUGCAGAAGAGAAAUGAUGGUGAUUUAUUUGUUAUUUUUUGUAGAAGAAUGAUUUAGUGAAAUAUGCAGAGGUAUUAGAAGAGUAACACAGCUUUAGUUAGUUUUCUGCCAUGAAAAAGAAAACAUCAUAAUAAAAUUCAAUUUAUCGUUGAUUCUUACGGCAACUAUAGUGUGCAUAUGCUGCAUUUGUCCCCUCAAUAGGAUGAUGUAAUAAAUAUACUGUUUAUUAUGCUAUCCUAAACUGUAUGUGUUUGAUACAUAUCCUAAUCCGUACACUUUUAGACAGGAAAUAUAGUAAUAAUAUAUUUUGCUAAAGUAUUUUUUAGUUCAAGGCUCUUAGCUUGUUUAAUGGACAAGUAACUACCAUGAUGGACUCUCUUUUCUAGACGAAAGAAUUAAAGCAGUGGAAGGAGAAAGACUUGUCUAGGGUUGUCCAGUGGGUCAAUGGCAGAGAGGCCGUGGAGCCCAGCCCCUACGUCACCACUGGCUUCAUAUUUCAUCCAUCUGCUUGCAGUGACUUCAUGUGUCUUUACAGUAUCUUUGCAGAUUUAUUUCUUGGUUGCUCCUUCUGUAUUUGUAGGAGAUAUUCUCCUUACCUCUUUUCUUGCUUAUUAGUUAUUAUUCAUGUGUUGACUUUUAGAUGGAAAAUUAGAUUGAUUCUCUCCCCAUUCUCUCUUUUAUUUUGGCUGGGAAUGAUUGCUUUUUCUAUGCUUCCAGUUUCAAAGAGUUCUGCCCUUCCUUUUUCAAAAAAUCACCCUGAUGAUGCUGUAUCUUAUCUAUAUGUUUGCUACAGUGUAAAUUAGUGGAAAGGACUUUAGGCCAGGGGUUCAAGUCCCUGCUCUGCUAUUAACCCACUGGGUGAUCUUAACCUCUCUGGUCUCAGUUUUCUUAUGGUUAAAAUGGGACUAACAAUAAUCCUCCCUGUAAUUAAUAGGGCUGUUGUGGGGAGUGAAUGAGUUAAAGUACAUACGUGAACUUUGUAAUCUGUAUGUAAUAGACAUACAUGAGCUAUAUAAUCGGCAUGUAAUAUACACACGUGAGCCUUGUAAUCAGCAUGCAAUGUACAUAUAUGAGCUAUGUGGUCUGUAUGUAACUCACAUACAUGAGCUGUGUAAUCCUUACGCAAUGUGCAUACAUGAACUAUGUAAUCUAUAUGCACUGUACAUAACAUGAGCUAUGUGAUCAAUAUGUAACAUACACACAUAAACUUUGUAACCUAUACAUUGUAGUGUGCACAGGAGGACAGAGGGUGACGAUGAUCGUAAACAACCCUUCUCUACCCUGUGAUCCCACAGCUCAGGAGAGAGAAGAGACCAUUGAAAUUGUCAGGAGGUCACACGCGCUAGAUAAAAAAUCCUAGCCUAAAAGGCAUACUUCUGUCUCCAGAUGAAUCCAAAGAUAAACGUUAACUGCAAGAGUUCAUAUUUUAUAAACACAGUCCUUGUAAAGGUCAGUCUAAGUUCAUGCUGAUGAAUGUUCUGGUUACAAGCUCGAAGUUCAAAUUCUGGCUGUGCCAUCUGCUGCCCAACCCCUUAGGCCUCAAUUUCCACACCUGUGAACUGAGAUUCAUCCUCACCCCUGAUUGACGGAGUUAUUGUGGGAAUUAAAUUAGAUAAUCCAUGCAUUUUACAUAAAAAGUGCUCAGUAUCACUAUUAUUCAAAUACGUUUGUGUGUGUGUGUUAGAAUACUCUAUUUUGGCCAGGUAAAAUAAGCCCAUAUCACUCUAUGUUCUGGCUUUGGGUACAGUUUGUUGGGAAGUUAGAUAUUUUUUAUAGAAUGCCCUAAAUUUAUAGGAUUUGUUUCAAUAUGCUUUGUGCCUUUUAAAUUGUCACUUUUCUAUAUACAUCAUAUCCUAAAUAUAAUCCCCAAUUUCUUUGUUUGGUAUUUUUAUUCUUAUUCCUACUAUGUUAUGUUUAUUUAUAUUUUAGGAUGGACACUAUUUCCACUCUAAGGAAGUCACCGGAAUAUUCCGAAUGUUAUGUUGUGUUAUAAUAACUGGGCUUUAAGGUGGGCCUGAUGUAAUCCUGACCGUCUUUAAAAGUGGAAAAGGGAGGUAGAAGAGUCAGUCGGUGUCGGAGAAAGACCUGUGAUGACAGUGGAGUUUGGAGUGAUGAGAUUGCUGACACUGAACAUGGAAGAGGAACGCAAGCCAAGGAAUGGGAAUGGCCCCUAAAAGCUGGAAAAGGCAAGGAAGCGGAUUCUCCCCUAGGACCUCUAGGAAGAAGCAGUCCUGCUAGCACCUUGAUUUCAGCCCAGGGAGACCCUUGACAGACUUCUGAAAUAGAGAACUGUAAGAUAAUAAAUUUGUGUUGUUUCGAGCCACUAGGUUUGUGCUGAUUUGUUCCAGAGGUCAUAGAAAAUUAAUAUAGCAAGAAUGUGUGUGUGUGACAUGGAAAUAGGAACUCUAGUGACUGAUUUUUGCUGAAGAUUAAAUUAAGGUGAAUAAAAUAUUUUUCCAUGUCAUUUAUAAAAUAUAUAUUUUCAAUACACGUAUUUAAUAUGGAUAUUUAAUUAUCAGCAUAAGAGCAAACAUGGUUGUUGUGACUCAAUUUCAUAGACAUUACAUUAGCCAAAUUAUAGACAGAUUUUUUAUUUUCAAAUUAAUUUGUAUAAUACAUCUCACAAAAUUAUAGAAUUUAGAUCACAUUCAAUUAAAUAUUUCACAAAUAAUUUUUAUUGUAAAGUAUAAAAGUCAUAAAAUCAAGGCUUCUCCUGAAGAUUAAGGGCAUACACUUACUGUAAUUAGGAUAGAUGUGAAUAUUUGUCUUUUAUUUACAGCCCAAGCCCAG